Long non-coding RNA from Homo sapiens (human), 548 nucleotides. Ensembl annotates it as INTS9 antisense RNA 1. Its record names the gene INTS9-AS1. The record is from Ensembl. NCBI's taxonomy places the organism in Eukaryota, Metazoa, Chordata, Mammalia, Primates, Hominidae.
UUUCUCUGCUUGGGCAGAACUCAUCUAUUUGUACUUCUCCAACAAAUACAUAUGCAUCCAUUAUUUCCAGAGAAGAGAGGAAGGGAAGUACAGGACAGUGAUUCUUAGCAGCAGAUGUGUAAGGGGCCUCAGACUGUUUCUCGUGUGCGAGUUAUCAACUGCAAGGAAACCAGAAUGGUGAGAAAGGAACCAAGGCAUCAAUGGAUAGCACAGUUAGCUUAAAAUGGCAAUCAUUUUAUAUGGACCUUGUUAGAAUGAACCAAUAAUGAUCCCGAGGGCUAAAGGGAGAUGAGGGACUUUAGAGGAUCCAGGAACCUUCUAAAAUGGUAUAUACAAUUCUGUGUGUGCCUGUGUAAACUUUUCUUUUUUCUUUUUUUUCUUUGAGACAGCUCUGUUGCCCAGGCUGGAGUGCAGUGGUGCCAUCUCGGCUCACUGCAACCUCCACCUCCUGGGUUCAAGGAAUUCUCCUGCCUCAGCCUCCUGAGUAGCUGGGAUUACAGUACGAAUGUCGAAUGUCACCGAGUUGGAACCAUUGUAAGAUACCUCAU